This 71-nucleotide transfer RNA is filed under the name Clostridia bacterium. RNAcentral's name for it is "tRNA-Gln". It matches the Rfam family "tRNA". From Rfam's summary of the family: Transfer RNA (tRNA) molecules are approximately 80 nucleotides in length. Their secondary structure includes four short double-helical elements and three loops (D, anti-codon, and T loops). The record is from RNAcentral. RNAcentral also lists the same sequence under 1 other name. Lineage: Bacteria; Bacillati; Bacillota; Clostridia.
UGGGGAAUGGUGUAAUGGCAGCACAUGCGACUCUGACUCGUACAGUCUAGGUUCAAAUCCUAGUUCCCCAG